Molecule: ribosomal RNA, 314 nt
Filed under: uncultured bacterium
Lineage: Bacteria
Description: partial 16S ribosomal RNA
Rfam family: Bacterial small subunit ribosomal RNA
Source: RNAcentral
GUAUAAGAGACAGCAGUAGCCGCGGGAAUACGGAGGGUGCAAGCGUUAAUCGGAAUUACUGGGCGUAAAGCGCACGCAGGCGGUCUGACAAGUCAGAUGUGAAAUCCCCGGGCUUAACCUGGGAACUGCAUUUGAAACUGUCAGGCUGGAGUCUUGUAGAGGGGGGUGGAAUUCCAGGUGUAGCGGUGAAAUGCGUAGAGAUCUGGAGGAAUACCGGUGGCGAAGGCGGCCCCCUGGACAAAGACUGACGCUCAGGUGCGAAAGCGUGGGGAGCAAACAGGAUUAGAUACCCCGGUAGUCCCUGUCUCUUAUAC